AGAUCAUGACCUUUGCCGAAGUUGGACGCUUAACUGACUGACCCAUCCAGACACCCCUAAAUUAUUUUUUCUAACGGGAUUCUUGUUUUAAAAGAUUUUAGUUACAAAACAAUAGUUUCCUUUUACUAAUCAAAAAUGUACCAUUCAGAGGUUUUGGCUUCCACACCAUAACUAAUGUAAUUCACCGGGUUCUUAAGAUUCGAGCUGAAAGCAAAGAACUGUGAUGUUUUAACUCAAGUAGUUUCAUUGUUAGAUUUAUGAUUUCCAGUAGGCUUUUGGAACGUUGCCCAAGGGCCGGAGACUCCCUAUCCCCCUUUAUAGAUUCUAGACUAGAUCUUUCAAUGUCGACACGUUUGGUUUCGUAACCAAAAAAUAUCAAUGAUUAAGCUGGGAUUUAGCUGGGAUUCUCAAGACUUUGAGCAGUGCCUGACUUGCUUUGUCCCAGAGAUUCCACUCCAUCGGGUGCUCCCAACAUGUCAUAGCUUUUGUGUUUUUCACAUUUCAGACAUCAGUACAAAAGGAUUCAGACAAACUGCUACGUCUUGUACAGCUGUUACUUAUUUUCUCGUGAGGCUUUAUGGUCUCUGAAAAAGCAGUAGCGUUAUUUAGCAUGUUUAAAAAAAUGCUCAAAAUACCAUGAAUUGUAUAGAGUAGCCUAUCGUAUCACGUUUCUGGGAACAAGAUUUUGCCAACAAGAAUUAAAAGAGUGAAAGAAGACCGUCAGGAGAUAUCGUGGCCCAAUGAUGGCAGAGGCAAAAGUUGUUCUGGGAUCUGAAGCGGGAGAGAUCCCCGCAGAGGGCGUGAUGAAGGACACGUUCCCAGCACUGGGGCUGAGUGGCCUGCAAGGUGAGUGGGUUUUGCGUACGUGGAAAGGGGGCAGAGGUGGCGACGGAACGGUGAAGUGACUAAGGUGCACGAGUCUUCAAGACAAAGCCAGAGAGAGGCCGCACGACAGCGCGUCUGCCACGUCUUUGCAGAGAUCCGGCUUGCUUCCAUUCCCCGCCAUGUCUAACGUGUUUGGAAUAAGACGCUUUUCUCCUUUCUGGUUGCUGGUGCCUCCGAGUGAUCAACAGUGUCAAGGUUUGCUGAGCACAGGCGCUUUCCUAGAUGCAGCCGAGGAUGGUGCCUGGCCUGCCUCUGAGGGCUCUUCGGAAUAACAUAAUGCAAACGUGGUAUCUGUGAGACUUGUCCUCAACCAGCCCACAGUCUUCCUGCACCUGGUCUGUUGUGGCGCCUCCAAGUUGACGUGCUUGGAUCCUUCAUCUGGUUUUGUGGCUCGCCCUCUCUCAUUCUUGGCCUUCUUUCUGCCUGCCCACCUGCCACCCCUGCCACAUACUUUUUCUCCGAGUCUGUGGCUUUCGGGGACUCUUCUGGUAAGGAGGAGGAGAGGGAUAGAUGCAUAUGCGUUUAGCAGUGAACAAAUAAAUGCUUGCACGUGAUGUAACUGCCAUGUGACCUAAGGUCGCAUCACGUGGAGUAUAGUACUUGAAACAAGGGAGGUGGUCUCUUCUGACUCUUGAGUAGGCACGAGGCGAGGCGGCAUAGAGGGUAGAGGUUAAGGAUGCAGGGCUCUGGGGACAGGCUGCCUACAUUUCAGUACCAGCUUUCAUUUUCUAACUUGGUGGCCUUGAGCAACAUACUUAACUUCCAUGUCUGUUUCCUCAUUUCCAAUAUGGGGAAUAAUAAUAAUAAUAAUCUUAUCUAAUGGAGUUGUUGGCAUUAAAUUGAAGUUCUGUAAUCGAAGUGCUUAGAAGGGAGCCUGGCACAUAAGUACUCCAUAGAAGUUGGUUUUUACAGUUGUCGGUUCUGGGAAGCAUUCUUUAAAGAAGCGUGCAGACGCAGUGUGGCAGACUUCGAGGAUGUGACUGUGGGGGUGAGGGGACAGGCCAUGCGCUCUAAGUGAAGGCCGCAGGAAUCAGGGAGGCCGAGACUAGAAAAGAAAACUCAAGAGGAUGUACGGUUUUUUUCAGAGAUCUGUGGACGUCUCCUCUUGUGUUUGUCAUCUGUCACAGUGUGUAUGGCCCCAAAGUGAUGACCUUUGUAAUAGUCUUGGAGGAGGUGAAGGAGGCAGGGGGGAUAAGGGUGACAGGUGUAUUUCCACGAUCACGUCAGAGUCCAGAUUCCAGUUCUGUCCUCACCACGUUUGACCUGCAGCUUUACUCACAUCUUUGGUAGCUCAGUUUAUUGAUCUGUAAAGUGGAAAUAAUAAUAAUGAUUCGUGCUGUUUUGAUGGAAAGAGGUGACAGGGAUGCUAGCGGUUUGUGGUGGGACAGAAGGGUACCUGCAGGUGUCCGAGAUCUGGCCCUCAGCCUGGCAGGUGUAAGCUUCUGUUAGUAACUUGCCCACAGGCGGUUUUGGCGACAGACUGAUCCUAAUUUCUCUCUUUCAGCGCUGGAGUAGCGGCCCCCAAAAGAUGUACCCAUGGUCCUCGUUUCCAAAUAAAGUAGCAUUUACAAAU
Molecule: long non-coding RNA, 2458 nt
Organism: Herpailurus yagouaroundi (jaguarundi)
Lineage: Eukaryota; Metazoa; Chordata; Mammalia; Carnivora; Felidae
Exons: 2
Source: RefSeq, a predicted model, not a curated record